Molecule: ribosomal RNA, 253 nt
Filed under: uncultured bacterium
Lineage: Bacteria
Description: partial 16S ribosomal RNA
Rfam family: Bacterial small subunit ribosomal RNA
Source: RNAcentral
UACGUAGGGUGCGAGCGUUGUCCGGAAUUAUUGGGCGUAAAGCGCGUGUAGGCGGUUCGAUAAGUCUGCUGUGAAAGUCGAGGGCUCAACCCUCGAAAGCCGGUGGAUACUGUCGAACUGGAGUACGGAAGAGGCGAGUGGAAUUCCUGGUGUAGCGGUGAAAUGCGCAGAUAUCGGGAGGAACACCAAUUGCGAAGGCAGCUCGCUGGGACGUUACUGACGCUGAGACGCGAAAGCGUGGGGAGCAAACAGG